AACGUAGGAGGCGAGCGUUAUCCGGAUUUACUGGGCGUAAAGCGCGCGUAGGCGGUCGAGUAAGUCGGACGUGAAAGCCCCUGGCUCAACUGGGGGAGGUCGUUCGAUACUGCUCGGCUUGAGGAUGAGAGAGGAAAGCGGAAUUCCCGGUGUAGCGGUGGAAUGCGUAGAGAUCGGGAGGAACACCAGUGGCGAAAGCGGCUUUCUGGCUCAUUCCUGACGCUGAGUGCGCGAAAGCGUGGGUAGCAAACAGG
This 254-nucleotide ribosomal RNA is filed under the name uncultured bacterium. RNAcentral's name for it is "partial 16S ribosomal RNA". It matches the Rfam family "Bacterial small subunit ribosomal RNA", at positions 524 to 776 of the family's 1533-position model. The record is from RNAcentral.